AAUGGGUUUCUGUAUAAGGGAUCCCAUACCUGUACUGAGAUAUUGUUACACACAGAAAUCUGAACAGCCCUUCGAAAGCCAUAUGCCCUAUUGGAUUAACACUUCCUGAAAGGUUCUACUAUUCCGAGGGCCCGCUUUCCAUAUGCUAAGUUCCAGACCUUACAGCACAAUGUAUUUUAUUAUACCCCUUUUGUUAUAUAUAUUAGAGCUUUUCUUAAUAAAAAAAACCAUAUUGA
Molecule: long non-coding RNA, 236 nt
Organism: Xenopus tropicalis (tropical clawed frog)
Lineage: Eukaryota; Metazoa; Chordata; Amphibia; Anura; Pipidae
Exons: 2
Source: RefSeq, a predicted model, not a curated record